CCUACGGGCGGCAGCAGUGGGGAAUCUUGCACAAUGGGGGAAACCCUGAUGCAGCAACGCCGCGUGAGUGAAGAAGUAUUUCGGUAUGUAAAGCUCUAUCAGCAGGGAAGAAAAUGACAGUACCUGUCUAAGAAGCCCCGGCUAACUACUGGCCAGCAGCCGCGGUAAUACGUAGGGGGCAAGCGUUAUCCGGAUUUACUGGGUGGAAAGGGAGCGUAGACGGCUGCGCAAGUCAGAAGUGAAAGCCCGGGGCUCAACCGCGGGACUGCUUUUGAAACUGUGUAGCUAGAGUGCAGGAGAGGUAAGUGGAAUUCCUAGUGUAGCGGUGAAAUGCGUAGAUAUUAGGAGGAACACCGGUGGCGAAGGCGGCUUACUGGACUGUAACUGACGUUGAGGCUCGAAAGCGUGGGGAGCAAACAGGAUUAGAUACCCGAGUAGUC
This 440-nucleotide ribosomal RNA is filed under the name uncultured bacterium. RNAcentral's name for it is "partial 16S ribosomal RNA". It matches the Rfam family "Bacterial small subunit ribosomal RNA", at positions 338 to 795 of the family's 1533-position model. The record is from RNAcentral.